UACAGAGGUCUCAAGCGUUGUUCGGAUUUAUUGGGCGUAAAGGGCGCGUAGGCGGCGGGGUAAGUCGGGUGUGAAAUCUCAGGGCUCAACCCUGAAACUGCACUUGAUACUGCUCUGCUUGAGGACUGGAGAGGAGACUGGAAUUCACGGUGUAGCAGUGAAAUGCGUAGAUAUCGUGAGGAAGACCAGUGGCGAAGGCGGGUCUCUGGACAGUUCCUGACGCUGAGGCGCGAAAGCGUGGGGAGCGAACAGG
RNAcentral lists this ribosomal RNA (253 nucleotides) under uncultured bacterium. RNAcentral describes it as "partial 16S ribosomal RNA". It matches the Rfam family "Bacterial small subunit ribosomal RNA", at positions 524 to 776 of the family's 1533-position model. The record is from RNAcentral.